RNAcentral lists this long non-coding RNA (242 nucleotides) under Mytilus galloprovincialis (Mediterranean mussel). Lineage: Eukaryota; Metazoa; Mollusca; Bivalvia; Mytilida; Mytilidae. The record is from RNAcentral.
UUUAUUUAAAUUGAUUUUGUCGCAGAAAUAAUGGAUUAAUGUAGCGUCAGUCAAAAUGAGAAAAACAAAGAGACAAAUACAUACCCAGAUCCUUAAAAAUAAAAAGACAAAUAGGACGAAAUAUGUGCUCAGAAAAGAUGAGCAAUUCCAAUUAUGAAUACGGUAUCAUGUUCGGGAAUGUGAAUCCACGAAAUACGGAGACAGUACACAGCACUUCCAAUAGCGACCGAACAGACAUAGUC